Molecule: ribosomal RNA, 238 nt
Filed under: uncultured bacterium
Lineage: Bacteria
Description: partial 16S ribosomal RNA
Rfam family: Bacterial small subunit ribosomal RNA
Source: RNAcentral
CGUGAGCAAUCUGCCUUUGGGUGGGGGAUAACAGCCGGAAACGACUGCUAAUACCGCAUGAUGCAGCGGGGUCGCAUGAUUUUGCUGCCAAAGAUUUAUCGUCCAAAGAUGAGCUCGCGUCUGAUUAGCCAGUUGGCGGGGUAACGGCCCACCAAAGCGACGAUCAGUAGCCGGACUGAGAGGUUGAACGGCCACAUUGGGACUGAGACACGGCCCAGACUCCUACGGAAGGCAGCAG